RNAcentral lists this long non-coding RNA (377 nucleotides) under Physcomitrium patens. RNAcentral's name for it is "long non-coding RNA (PPAT_LNC001857)". Lineage: Eukaryota; Viridiplantae; Streptophyta; Bryopsida; Funariales; Funariaceae. The record is from RNAcentral.
UCUUAAGAAAUCCUAAAGAAAUAUUAGAAUAAUUACAAAUAUAUCUUAAAUAAAUUUCAACUAAGUCCUAAUUUAAUUCUAAUUGAAAUCUUAGUGGAUUUCAAUCAAAUCCUAAGCCAAAUCCUAUAUCUUAAAUAAAUCCUAAAUCCUAAAUCAAAUCCUAUAUCCUAGUCUAAUUUUAAAUCCUAACCAAACCUUAAUCAAAUCCUAAAUUCUAAUCCAACUCCAACCCUAAAGCAACUCAACCUAAUCCAAAUAUAAUUUAAAACCUCAAUAUCUAUUGAUUAAGUCAUUGAUCUUGCUUAAAAUUUUAUACACUUUUCAACAACUAGAUUAGCAACAAGCACAUGAAAUUUAAAGAUAAUCGUACUUACGAA